Pleuronectes platessa (European plaice) is the source of this 1106-nucleotide non-coding RNA. The record is from the annotation of a RefSeq genome assembly. Lineage: Eukaryota; Metazoa; Chordata; Actinopteri; Pleuronectiformes; Pleuronectidae.
UGUGGUUUAGGUGUUGGUAACAAGCAGUGAUAUGAGAGGACGCACAGAGAGGGAGGAGCAACACUGUCAAAGAGCAGAGCAGAAAAGACCUCCUGCUGUGCUGCAUUCAAUAUCUACAGCAGACCUCAGAUAGUGUCUGUAAGAUGUUCCCUCUGCGUCACGCUGGAGUCUGGCCUUUGUUUCUCUUCAUCCUGAAAGGUGUCAGCUGUGAUGAACUGACUCCAGACAAGACUGCAGAGUUCAGUGUAGAAGGCAGCUCUGUUACUCUGUCCUACAAGUUCUCCAGGACAAUAACUGGUACUGAUUAUUUCUACUGGUAUCGACAGAAUCCAGGACAAGCUCCAGAGUUCCUCCUCUCACACUCUGCUUCAGGACAAAUACUAGCUGCUCCAACCUCUGGACUGAAGAUUGAAGUGGAGCAGAACCAAAUCCACAUGAUCAUCUCUGCUGCAGUGACAGACUCUGCUGUGUACUACUGUGCUGUGAAGCCCACAGUGACAGGAAACUACACAACUCUGUACAAAAACCUGUGGAGCAAACACACAACUCCUCAUCCUCCACUAGAGGGAGUCACUCACUGUUAAACCUCAGUGUUUCUUAUGAUCCAGUCCAGAUUCUGUGUUGUGAUGAUUAAACAGACGAAUGACCAGCAGAUUAUUUUCUUUAUAAAAUAACAGAAAGUCUCAAAGAUGACGAGAUGCUGAGUCAUGUUCACUGUGUCAUGUGUUGUUAUACUUGAGGCAUCGACCUAUAUUGUCCCGUCUCUGCUGUUUUAUCUUUAAAGUGGAAACUGGUUAAAAACCACAAUUGGACAAAUCACAAGACGUAUAAUACUGAACUCUACUGUUGCAGUUUCAUCGGUUUCCCUGAAGCUGGAGUCGUCUCCACGUACGAAUCGUUUCACAGCAGUAACAGGUGGUUAGCUGGCCCCGCCCACUGACGUCCAACUGGACCAAUGAGAUUGUUGGAGUGUCCAGUGCAGAGAUGUUGGAGGAAGUCAAAGCACAAUGAGCUGGAUGUUGAGGACGACUGUGCAGCAGAGAGGCUGCUGAGUGGUUUCAUUCUCCUGCAGUGGAAGAACAUUGUUCAUCUGUUUGGCUUCAACU